Molecule: ribosomal RNA, 1357 nt
Filed under: uncultured bacterium
Lineage: Bacteria
Description: bacterial SSU rRNA
Rfam family: Bacterial small subunit ribosomal RNA
Source: RNAcentral
AGAGUUUGAUCCUGGCUCAGGACGAACGCUGGCGGCGCGCCUAACACAUGCAAGUCGAACGAGCGAGAGAGAGCUUGCUUUCUCGAGCGAGUGGCGAACGGGUGAGUAACGCGUGAGGAACCUGCCUCAAAGAGGGGGACAACAGUUGGAAACGACUGCUAAUACCGCAUAAGCCCACGGGUCGGCAUCGACCAGAGGGAAAAGGAGCAAUCCGCUUUGAGAUGGCCUCGCGUCCGAUUAGCUAGUUGGUGAGGUAAUGGCCCACCAAGGCGACGAUCGGUAGCCGGACUGAGAGGUUGAACGGCCACAUUGGGACUGAGGCACGGCCCAGACUCCUACGGGAGGCAGCAGUGGGGAAUAUUGCACAAUGGGGGAAACCCUGAUGCAGCGACGCCGCGUGGAGGAAGAAGGUCUUCGGAUUGUAAACUCCUGUUGUUGGGGAAGAUAAUGACGGUACCCAACAAGGAAGUGACGGCUAACUACGUGCCAGCAGCCGCGGUAAAACGUAGGUCACAAGCGUUGUCCGGAAUUACUGGGUGUAAAGGGAGCGCAGGCGGGAAGACAAGUUGGAAGUGAAAUCUAUGGGGCCAACCCAUAAACUGCUUUCAAAACUGUUUUUCUUGAGUAGUGCAGAGGUACGCGGAAUUCCCGGUGUAGCGGCGGAAUGCGUAGAUAUCGGGAGGAACACCAGUGGCGAAGGCGGCCUACUGGGCACCAAUUGACGCUGAGGCUGGAAAGUGUGGGUAGCAAACAGGAUUAGAUACCCUGGUAGUCCACACCGUAAACGAUGAUUACUAGGUGUUGGAGGAUUGACCCCUUCAGUGCCGCAGUUAACACAAUAAGUAAUCCACCUGGGGAGUACGACCGCAAGGUUGAAACUCAAAGGAAUUGACGGGGGCCCGCACAAGCAGUGGAGUAUGUGGUUUAAUUCGACGCAACGCGAAGAACCUUACCAAGUCUUGACAUCCCUUGACGAUGCUGGAAACAGUAUUUCUCUUCGGAGCAAGGAGACAGGUGGUGCAUGGUUGUCGUCAGCUCGUGUCGUGAGAUGUUGGGUUAAGUCCCGCAACGAGCGCAACCCUUAUGGUCAGUUACUACGCAAGAGGACUCUGGCCAGACUGCCGUUGACAAAACGGAGGAAGGUGGGGAUGACGUCAAAUCAUCAUGCCCUUUAUGACUUGGGCUACACACGUACUACAAUGGCGUUAAACAAAGAGAAGCAAGACCGCGAGGUGGAGCAAAACUCAGAAACAACGUCCCAGUUCGGACUGCAGGCUGCAACUCGCCUGCACGAAGUCGGAAUUGCUAGUAAUCGUGGAUCAGCAUGCCACGGUGAAAAGUUCCCGGGCCUGUACAC